CUGGCUCAGGAUGAACGCUGGCGGCGUGCCUAACACAUGCAAGUCGAGCGUGAACCCUUAGAAUGAAACUUCGGUCGAAUGAAGAGGGGGAAAGCGGCGGACGGGUGAGUAACGCGUAGGCAACCUGCCCCGUACAGAGGGAUAGCCUCGGGAAACCGGGAUUAAAACCUCAUAAUACCAUGGUAUCACAUGAUGCAAUGGUCAAAGAUUUAUCGGUAUGGGAUGGGCCUGCGUCUGAUUAGCUGGUUGGUGGGGUAACGGCCUACCAAGGCAACGAUCAGUAGCCGACCUGAGAGGGUAAUCGGCCACAUUGGAACUGAGACACGGUCCAAACUCCUACGGGAGGCAGCAGUGGGGAAUAUUGCACAAUGGGCGAAAGCCUGAUUGCAGCAACGCCGCGUGAGCGAAGAAGGCCUUUGGGUCGUAAAGCUCUGUCGGGAAGGAAGAUAAUGACGGUACUUCCCGAGGAAGCCCCGGCUAACUACGUGCCAGCAGCUGC
RNAcentral lists this ribosomal RNA (499 nucleotides) under uncultured bacterium. RNAcentral's name for it is "bacterial SSU rRNA". It matches the Rfam family "Bacterial small subunit ribosomal RNA", at positions 19 to 518 of the family's 1533-position model. The record is from RNAcentral.